AAUUUUGUCAUACAUUUAUGAAGAUUAAAAUUGGACUCAUAAAUGUGUUUAGUUAUCUGAAAGAAGUCGAUUCUGAUUAUGUUUUGAGCUAAAAUUAAUGAGAAAUUAAAACUCUUACAGAAUAUUAAGAUAUACAGUGUUGUAUAGAUUUACAACUUUAAUAAAAAGAAGAUAUAUCCAAGUUUCUUUCCAAUUUUUUUUUUUUUAUAUUUAUUUUAUUUCAUUUUUUUCCUCAGAAUACCACCCUUACCUCCACAAGUUUUUUUUUUUUUUUUUUUUUAAACCUUGAACGGCUCUAGUGUGGCAUCAUAUGAACAUCUUAGUCUUUUGAGUUCUCUGGAGUGAUUUUUUUUUUCCCAGUCGUGAUUGUCUCUAACUCAGGCACUUUACGUGAUUGACUUCUGUCUUUACACCUAAUGCGUGAUCAGGCAUUAGUUCAAUAUGAUUUUGCACAAAUCUGAAGUCCCGACUUCACCCGAAACCCUCCGCACCAUGCACAGUAAUGCAUUCUCUCUUCAGAUGUCGUUGUUUGGCGGGAGGGUACUACGGCACAUAUUGCAACACCCAGCACUACUACCACAUGGUCAUGAGGAAAAGAAAAAACCUACCCGAGUUCCUGUGAAAAACAGCCUCGGUUUACCUCAGGCGCUCCCACGUUUCCUCAAAAAGCUACUCAGGGAUCUGAGUCAGCAGCUCUUAUCUGAAAUCACUUUAUGGCAAUAAAACCCUCAAUCUUUACCCAGCCAGGGUUGAAAACGUACCUAUUUAGGGUUUUUUGGCGAUUCUGCGUGCCGUUUUUCCCAUGAGGUGAUUAAACAGAUUGAAAAGUUUAAUUUUGAAAUGAAUGUUUCCAGGCCUUUACAGAAUCACUAUAAUACAGCAAUAUCUAUAUAAAGAGCGUAGCAUUGAAAACCCCAAAGGUCUAUUUUGUUCCCCGUAGAGUCAACCCUUCAGUUGUAAAUGGAAUAACAUGUUUUCUGCUUACCUUGCAUUUUUACCUGUAUCCGUUCCACCUCUGAACCUCCAAAAUUUCACACGCCUUAAUGGAAACUAGCCUCCCCAGACUGGCCGGUGCUCGCAGAUGAAAAAGUUAACCACGAUUCCAGCCACGGAGGGUAGACGUGUUUGGGUUGGAAGGCGAGUUAACCGCACCAGGUGUAGGAGAACAGAGGGCCAUUUUGUAGGGCCCGUGAAACAGGAUGGAGGAGCUUUAUUUUCAUGUUCCACCUGCUUCACAUUCAGUCUGCGCACGGGAACAAAAGCAGCUCUCAGAACAGGUCUGCUGAUUCAGGAAUAUCCCACAUGGUCAUAAAUGCUAUAUUUUCUAAUGUAAAUAUAUUUAGCUGUGAGUCGAUACAAACUUAAUUGGAAAACAGAAAGAAAAUCAGAGUGUAUACUGUUGUUGUGCUGUUUGAAACCUUUUUUUUACAUUUUUAUAUAUCUAGUGUCAACACUUUGUGAUUCUUUUUUCUGUAAGCUGUAGUUCCUUUUCAUUUGAGCACAUCUGUAUUUUAUUGCUUUCAUCUCUUUCUACAAACAUAUACAUAUAAAUAAAACUCUAUAUAUCAGUGUUAUUGUAGUUUGAUAGAAUAAAAGUGUGAAAUCAUUAAGAAAUCCUUUUCGUGUAAUAAUCACACUCCACUGAAUAUCAGGAGGUUUGUACUGGUUGUAGUGCAUGAGGUGUCUUAAAUAAAGAAAACCUUUACAAUCAUUUCUCUGUAAAGUCGUGUUUGUGUGUGU
Molecule: long non-coding RNA, 1740 nt
Organism: Oreochromis aureus
Lineage: Eukaryota; Metazoa; Chordata; Actinopteri; Cichliformes; Cichlidae
Source: Ensembl